AGUUCAUUUGGAUGGAUUAAUUGGUCUGGAUUCUGACCCUAAAGAUGGAAAAGUCACCUGAAACUUUGUCAUUGUUUUUGAAUGAAAAGUAUGCUGAUCCAGUCCAUGAGAAAACAGAAGAGAAAAUGACUGAAGAAAAGGUCUCUCCUCCCAGCAUCUCAGCGCAUGGCCACUCCAGCUCUGAAAAGUGAAUGUAAAUAAGGAAUGAAGCCUAAAUCAUCAACUCU
Long non-coding RNA from Cygnus atratus (black swan), 227 nucleotides. RefSeq lists it as uncharacterized. The record is from RefSeq and is a predicted model, not a curated record. Lineage: Eukaryota; Metazoa; Chordata; Aves; Anseriformes; Anatidae. The transcript is spliced from 3 exons.